This 451-nucleotide ribosomal RNA is filed under the name uncultured bacterium. RNAcentral describes it as "bacterial SSU rRNA". It matches the Rfam family "Bacterial small subunit ribosomal RNA", at positions 340 to 786 of the family's 1533-position model. The record is from RNAcentral.
UACGGGAGGCAGCAGUGGGGAAUAUUGCACAAUGGGCGCAAGCCUGAUGCAGCCAUGCCGCGUGUAUGAAGAAGGCCUUCGGGUUGUAAAGUACUUUCAGUCGUGAGGAAGGUGUUAAGGUUAAUAACCUUAGCAAUUGACGUUAGCGACAGAAGAAGCACCGGCUAACUCCGUGCCAGCAGCCGCGGUAAUACGGAGGGUGCGAGCGUUAAUCGGAAUUACUGGGCGUAAAGGGCACGCAGGCGGUUAAUUAAGUUGGAUGUGAAAUCCCCGGGCUUAACCUGGGAAUGGCAUUCAAGACUGGUUAGCUAGAGUCUUGUAGAGGGGGUAGAAUUCCAUGUGUAGCGGUGAAAUGCGUAGAGAUGUGGAGGAUACCGGUGGCGAAGGCGGCCCCUGGGACAAGACUGACGCUCAUGUGCGAAAGCGUGGGGAGCAAACAGGAUUAGAUACC